Mauremys mutica (yellowpond turtle) is the source of this 554-nucleotide long non-coding RNA. RefSeq lists it as uncharacterized. The transcript is spliced from 4 exons. The record is from RefSeq and is a predicted model, not a curated record. NCBI's taxonomy places the organism in Eukaryota, Metazoa, Chordata, Testudines, Geoemydidae.
GGCAAGGCUCUGCUCCAACAAUCUCACAGGGUGAUGUUUUGUCUGGGCCAGCAGGAGAAAGGAAACCAUUAGCUCCUUUAAGGAUUACGUACACAUCCUUCCCUCCUUGUGAAGGAUUGAGGAGAAGAUAGGACUGGGCUCCUGACACGUAGCAGGAGCCAGAGAUUUUCCCUUACCCCACACAGAAACAGAGGACAGCAGUGACUGGAAUGGGUAUGUGAAGAUCACCUCCCUUUUGUUUUGGCCUCCCUUCAUCUCUCUGAUUUCGCUGAAUCCACGGAAGAAGUUGUUGCCCUGAGUGCUUUACUCAGGGUCUGGUCCUAAGCCAGUGUAAUGGAACGACUCCAAUUUUCUUCAGUGGGCUUUGGAUCAGAUUUAAGGACCCAAAUGUGAGUAAGCUCACUGACUUCAGCAGGAUAUAUGCCAGGGUAAGGUGAGCAAAAUCAAACUCUAAACAUGAAAUACACUUAACUGUCCCCAGGUUAGGGUCUUUUUGACCCCAGAAUUAAAUUGUGCUGAGACUUGUAUAAUCCUGUUUAAGCAAGUGACGCCAU